UUAUUUGUGGUAUUAUAUAAUAAAUAAAUGUUAUAUAAAUAUCAAUAAUUAAUAUAUUUAUUAAUCAAAAAUUU
RNAcentral lists this transfer RNA (74 nucleotides) under Amphioctopus fangsiao. RNAcentral's name for it is "tRNA-Glu". The record is from RNAcentral. Lineage: Eukaryota; Metazoa; Mollusca; Cephalopoda; Octopoda; Octopodidae.